RNAcentral lists this long non-coding RNA (240 nucleotides) under Mytilus galloprovincialis (Mediterranean mussel). The record is from RNAcentral. Lineage: Eukaryota; Metazoa; Mollusca; Bivalvia; Mytilida; Mytilidae.
GUUUUGAUAUUUUUAUUAAGUGUGAUAAUGGUGUUUUGUUUCUUUUCAUCGUAUGACACGUAAACAUCCAGUUACUAAUGUCCUUAAGUCCUCUUGGUACUUUUAUUUAGUCAUUCUACAGGGUCAUACUCACUUAUACUGCUAAUGACGAUUUAAUUUCAAAUAUGUUAAUAAUUAUUAUAACACUAUCUUACAGGCUAAAUUAAUUUUUAUUUUUCAAUGUCAGCUUCCAUGGAAGGC